Molecule: ribosomal RNA, 407 nt
Filed under: uncultured prokaryote
Also listed under: 1 other name
Description: bacterial SSU rRNA
Rfam family: Bacterial small subunit ribosomal RNA
Source: RNAcentral
UGGGGAAUAUUGGGCAAUGGGGGGAACCCUGACCCAGCAACGCCGCGUGAAGGAAGAAGGUUUUCGGAUUGUAAACUUCUGUCCUCAGGGAAGAAGGAAGUGACGGUACCUGAGGAGGAAGCCCCGGCUAACUACGUGCCAGCAGCCGCGGUAAUACGUAGGGGGCGAGCGUUGUCCGGAAUGACUGGGCGUAAAGGGCGCGUAGACGGCUGUCUAAGUCUGGAGUGAAAGUCCUGCUUUCAAGGUGGGAAUUGCUUUGGAGACUGGAUGGCUUGAGUGCGGAAGAGGUAAGUGGAAUUCCCAGUGUAGCGGUGAAAUGCGUAGAGAUUGGGAGGAACACCAGUGGCGAAGGCGGGUAACUGGACUGCAACUGACGCUGAGGCGCGAAAGUGUGGGGAGCAAACAGG